Stylophora pistillata is the source of this 487-nucleotide long non-coding RNA. RefSeq lists it as uncharacterized. Lineage: Eukaryota; Metazoa; Cnidaria; Anthozoa; Scleractinia; Pocilloporidae. The record is from RefSeq and is a predicted model, not a curated record.
GAAGCUAAGAAAACAUGCCUAUUCAUCCCGAUGACCUGAGUGGACUGUUUGUUUGGAAAAUUGCGUCAAAACUUUACACCCGAGAAAUGACCAAACUGGAACCUCCAUAGGCGUGUUUACUUGUUCUGAGUAGGGACAAAAGAAAAAGGAAUCAGCGUUGUACACUUUUCUCCACUUCUCUGUCUUUAUGUGGACAUUUUCCGGGUCAAUUCUUGAAAUGCGGUUUUUAACCGUAGCUCGAUACACGUGCGUGCGCAGGUCAGAUACAUGUGCAGGUCAGAUGUCCUAGGGAAGUAUCGUCGGUUUGUGUCUUGUGCUGAUCAUCUCGAAACAAGACCUCUUUCACAAAGAUUUUCAAAUGCCGUCUCUUUUCAUAUAUUACCUUAACUCCCCCCGCAACGAGCUCGUGGAUCCUCUUGAUGAUCUUCUCAUCAAGGGGUUGAGAUAUUCCAGCGACCUAUAGAAAUAAAAAACUCGAACUUUGAAA